Molecule: ribosomal RNA, 253 nt
Filed under: uncultured bacterium
Lineage: Bacteria
Description: partial 16S ribosomal RNA
Rfam family: Bacterial small subunit ribosomal RNA
Source: RNAcentral
UACGAAGGGGACUAGCGUUGUUCGGAAUCACUGGGCGUAAAGCGCACGUAGGCGGAUGUGUCAGUCAGGGGUGAAAUCCCGGGGCUCAACCUCGGAACUGCCUUUGAUACAGCACGUCUCGAGUCCGGAAGAGGUGGGUGGAAUUCCUAGUGUAGAGGUGAAAUUCGUAGAUAUUAGGAAGAACACCGGUGGCGAAGGCGACACACUGGCCCGUUACUGACGCUGAGGCGCGAAAGCGUGGGGAGCAAACAGG